UUUUCCUUUUCGAUCGCUUCAAGUUCUUUAACAUAACUUAUGGUCCAAUCUGAGAUCUCCUUACUAGACACAAUUUUUCUUUCAUGUACGAGGCGGUUUCGGCUUGUCUAGAGUGUCCAAAGCCCAUAACAGAAAAUUCUACAUUGAUUACUAGUAGCUAUUCGAAACACCCAGGGCAGUCACGAAACACAUGGAUAGAAUCCUCCGUAGAAUUGCAGCAUCCUGGUUACAAAGUAUUCACUGCAAUCCUUCUGUAAUUUAGAUUGACAAAAGUAGGAAUAAAAUUCCAUGAAAAUCUCCAAAUCAUAGUUUUAAUUUUCGGAGGAAUUUGUAAAUUCCAUAGCUUUUUGUAGAAAUGUCUAGAAUAAGCAUGUGAUGUAUUAUCAGUAGGAAGACGUGAACCAAUUUGUAAUAAUUUAUAGGCGCUUCUCACAGUAAAAUCACCGGUCAUUUCACCACACUAAACUUGUAUUCUUCAGAGAUUGUCCUCGCCAAUGGAAUUUGCAUAAUAGUAUUUACGACAUCCAUAGAUGUAUUAAAAAUUAA
Gossypium arboreum is the source of this 546-nucleotide long non-coding RNA. RefSeq lists it as uncharacterized. NCBI's taxonomy places the organism in Eukaryota, Viridiplantae, Streptophyta, Magnoliopsida, Malvales, Malvaceae. The transcript is spliced from 2 exons. The record is from RefSeq and is a predicted model, not a curated record.